Molecule: ribosomal RNA, 897 nt
Filed under: uncultured bacterium
Lineage: Bacteria
Description: bacterial SSU rRNA
Rfam family: Bacterial small subunit ribosomal RNA
Source: RNAcentral
UGCAGUCGNNCGGCAGCACAGCUUAAGCUUGCUUAAGUGGGUGGCGAGUGGCGGACGGGUGAGGAAUACAUGGGAAUCUGCCCAGUCGUGGGGGAUAACGUAUGGAAACGUACGCUAAUACCGCAUGCGCCCUUCGGGGGAAAGCCGGGGACCUUCGGGCCUGGCGCGAUUGGAUGAGCCCAUGUCGGAUUAGCUAGUUGGCGGGGUAAAGGCCCACCAAGGCGACGAUCCGUAGCUGGUCUGAGAGGAUGAUCAGCCACACUGGAACUGAGACACGGUCCAGACUCCUACGGGAGGCAGCAGUAGGGAAUAUUGGACAAUGGGCGCAAGCCUGAUCCAGCCAUGCCGCGUGUGUGAAGAAGGCCUUCGGGUUGUAAAGCACUUUUGUCCGGAAAGAAAAGCACUGGGUGAAUACCCUGGUGUCCUGACGGUACCGGAAGAAUAAGCACCGGCUAACUUCGUGCCAGCAGCCGCGGUAAUACGAAGGGUGCAAGCGUUACUCGGAAUUACUGGGCGUAAAGCGUGCGUAGGUGGUUUGUUAAGUCUGAUGUGAAAGCCCUGGGCUCAACCUGGGAAUGGCAUUGGAUACUGGCGAGCUAGAGUGCGGUAGAGGGUAGUGGAAUUCCCGGUGUAGCAGUGAAAUGCGUAGAGAUCGGGAGGAACAUCUGUGGCGAAGGCGACUACCUGGACCAGCACUGACACUGAGGCACGAAAGCGUGGGGAGCAAACAGGAUUAGAUACCCUGNUAGUCCACGCCCUAAACGAUGCGAACUGGGAUGUUGGGCUCAACUUGGAGCUCAGUAUCGAAGCUAACGCGUUAAGUUCGCCGCCUGGGGGANUACGGUCGCAAGACUGAAACUCAAAGNAAUUGACGGGGGCCCGCACAAGCGGNNGGAG